RNAcentral lists this small RNA (125 nucleotides) under Pan troglodytes (chimpanzee). RNAcentral's name for it is "processed transcript". Lineage: Eukaryota; Metazoa; Chordata; Mammalia; Primates; Hominidae. The record is from RNAcentral.
CACAGCAAAGGGAGACGUCAUUUGCUACUAUGGGAACCGAGGGGAGCCUGAUCCUAUCGUUUUGACGCCAGGUGGCCCCCCAACCUGGCGUGAGGUGAAGAGGUUCCCUCUUGGCUGUCCCCUUU